GACGAACGCUGGCGGCGUGCUUAACACAUGCAAGUCGAACGGAAAGGCCCUGCUUUUGUGGGGUGCUCGAGUGGCGAACGGGUGAGUAACACGUGAGUAACCUGCCCUUGACUUUGGGAUAACUUCAGGAAACUGGGGCUAAUACCGGAUAGGAGCUCCUACUGCAUGGUGGGGGUUGGAAAGUUUCGGCGGUUGGGGAUGGACUCGCGGCUUAUCAGCUUGUUGGUGGGGUAGUGGCUUACGAAGGCUUUGACGGGUAGCCGGCCUGAGAGGGUGACCGGCCACAUUGGGACUGAGAUACGGCCCAGACUCCUACGGGAGGCAGCAGUGGGGAAUAUUGCACAAUGGGCGGAAGCCUGAUGCAGCAACGCCGCGUGCGGGAUGACGGCCUUCGGGUUGUAAACCGCUUUCGCCUGUGACGAAGCGUGAGUGACGGUAAUGGGUAAAGAAGCACCGGCUAACUACGUG
This 468-nucleotide ribosomal RNA is filed under the name uncultured bacterium. Its description in RNAcentral is "partial 16S ribosomal RNA". It matches the Rfam family "Bacterial small subunit ribosomal RNA", at positions 28 to 507 of the family's 1533-position model. The record is from RNAcentral.